AUACUGCUGAAGAGUCCCAAACCAGGACGAAACAGCUGUCCAGUAC
RNAcentral lists this non-coding RNA (46 nucleotides) under Trichobilharzia regenti. The record is from RNAcentral. Lineage: Eukaryota; Metazoa; Platyhelminthes; Trematoda; Strigeidida; Schistosomatidae.